AUUGAACGCUGGCGGCAUGCCUUACACAUGCAAGUCGAACGGUAACGCGGGGCAACCUGGCGACGAGUGGCGAACGGGUGAGUAAUACAUCGGAACGUGCCCAGUAGUGGGGGAUAGCCCGGCGAAAGCCGGAUUAAUACCGCAUACGACCUACGGGUGAAAGCGGGGGAUCGCAAGACCUCGCGCUAUUGGAGCGGCCGAUGUCAGAUUAGCUAGUUGGUGGGGUAAAAGCCUACCAAGGCGACGAUCUGUAGCUGGUCUGAGAGGACGACCAGCCACACUGGGACUGAGACACGGCCCAGACUCCUACGGGAGGCAGCAGUGGGGAAUUUUGGACAAUGGGGGCAACCCUGAUCCAGCCAUGCCGCGUGCGGGAAGAAGGCCUUCGGGUUGUAAACCGCUUUUGUCAGGGAAGAAACGGUCUGCGCUAAUACCGCGGACUAAUGACGUACCUGAAGAAUAAGCACCGGC
Molecule: ribosomal RNA, 471 nt
Filed under: uncultured bacterium
Lineage: Bacteria
Description: bacterial SSU rRNA
Rfam family: Bacterial small subunit ribosomal RNA
Source: RNAcentral